Molecule: unclassified non-coding RNA, 370 nt
Filed under: soil metagenome
Description: partial contains 5.8S ribosomal RNA, internal transcribed spacer 2, and large subunit ribosomal RNA
Rfam family: 5.8S ribosomal RNA (bases 1-120)
Source: RNAcentral
GAUGAAGAACGUAGCGAAAUGCGAUAAGUAAUGUGAAUUGCAGAAUUCAGUGAACCAUUGAAUCUUUGAACGCACAUUGCGCCCGGCAGUAAUCUGCCGGGCAUGCCUGUCCGAGCGUCAUUUCUACCCUCGAGCGAGUCCAGCAUCUAGGUGCUGGGCCUCGCCCGGCGUUGGAGCACUACGGGAAGCCCUGUGCUGUCCCCCGUAGGCCCCGAAAUGAAGUGGCGGUCCUGCCGCGGCGCCCCCUGCGUAGUAUAACAGCUCGCUUCGGGACCCGGUGGAGGCCUGCCGUCAAACCUAUACUCUCUAAGUUUGACCUCGGAUCAGGUAGGGUUACCCGCUGAACUUAAGCAUAUCAAUAAGCGGAGGA